GGCAGGUCCUGUUAAUUUCCCCCAAACCAAUUCUUUUAGCUAUAAACAAAGGCAUUAGAUUAAUACUAGAACCUAGAUCUCACAAUGCUCUUUGAAAAGAAAUAGUGCCAAUGGUUCAAGGAAUAGAAAACAUCCCUGGAUCCUUUCACUUAGGUGGUAGUUGCCUUUGUGUUGUUGCACUGCACUCCUCCGUCAAUUUCACCAUCUCAAUAUCUUCGAAAUAUAUCUUUUUGCUUAAGAUUUCCUUGAGGAACUUUCCAUAGCUCGACAUUUGCUCUAGUGAUUCGCUAAAUGAAACGGUAAUUUGUAGUUUCUUGAAAAAAUUUCAAGAAAUUUGGAGAACUAUGCAUCCUUCUUAUUUUUCUUCAGGCGUUGCGGAAAAGUAAUCGGCGAAACGUGGGAUUUUGGAAUGAGAUUUGUGGAUGGUGGUUGCUCAGUUUUUGCUGAAUUUCUAGUGUAGCUCAUGGCGGCGAGUUGCGGUGGUCCAACAGCGGAAAGGCUAUUUUCAUAAGCUUUUUCUGUAGAUUUCAGCUGCUGUUGCUGCUUUUCUGUGUCUAAAUCUACAUAUGUUUUUAUGGGCC
RNAcentral lists this long non-coding RNA (581 nucleotides) under Prunus dulcis (almond). Its description in RNAcentral is "sRNA ncRNA". The record is from RNAcentral. Lineage: Eukaryota; Viridiplantae; Streptophyta; Magnoliopsida; Rosales; Rosaceae.